AGGACGAACGCUGGCGGCGUGCUUAACACAUGCAAGUCGAGCGGAAAGGCCCUUCGGGGUACUCGAGCGGCGAACGGGUGAGUAACACGUGGGCAACCUGCCCUUAGCUCUGGGAUAGCUCCGGGAAACCGGAAUUAAUACCGGAUAUGACCUAGGCCGACAUCGGCCGUGGUGGAAAGUUUUUCGGCUAGGGAUGGACUCGCGGCCUAUCAGCUAGUUGGUGGGGUAAUGGCCUACCAAGGCGACGACGGGUAGCCGGCCUGAGAGGGCGACCGGCCACGACUGGGACUGAGACACGGCCCAGACUCCUACGGGAGGCAGCAGUGGGGAAUCUUGCGCAAUGGGCGAAAGCCUGACGCAGCGACGCCGCGUGGGGGAUGAAGGCCUUCGGGUUGUAAACCCCUUUCAGCAGGGACGAAGCGAAAGUGACGGUACCUGCAGAAGAAGCGCCGGCUAACUACGUGCCAGCAGCCGC
Molecule: ribosomal RNA, 475 nt
Filed under: uncultured bacterium
Lineage: Bacteria
Description: SSU rRNA
Rfam family: Bacterial small subunit ribosomal RNA
Source: RNAcentral